AUCAUUCUUUUGGGGGUUGAGCUACUAUCCAAUGAAUGCACCAUAGUGGGGACAGAACUGCUAACACCUAUACAAACACCACAUGAACUUGGCCAAGUAGGGCUUUGCUCUACGUUGGUGCAACUUUUGGGAAA
Molecule: non-coding RNA, 134 nt
Filed under: Otolemur garnettii (small-eared galago)
Lineage: Eukaryota; Metazoa; Chordata; Mammalia; Primates; Galagidae
Source: RNAcentral